AGCUGCAUUGCUGGGCAAGUUGUCCUUUGGCAGAUGUUGCAGUUCAUCAUCGACUACUGCCAAAGGAAAUUUGCCCCGGAAUUCAUCU
RNAcentral lists this microRNA precursor (88 nucleotides) under Oryza punctata. Its description in RNAcentral is "mir-399 microRNA precursor family". It matches the Rfam family "mir-399 microRNA precursor family". Rfam says of the family: mir-399 was identified in both Arabidopsis thaliana and Oryza sativa computationally and was later experimentally verified. mir-399 is thought to target mRNAs coding for a phosphatase transporter. The mature sequence is excised from the 3' arm of the hairpin. The record is from Rfam by way of RNAcentral. Lineage: Eukaryota; Viridiplantae; Streptophyta; Magnoliopsida; Poales; Poaceae.